This 349-nucleotide long non-coding RNA is filed under the name Drosophila guanche. Lineage: Eukaryota; Metazoa; Arthropoda; Insecta; Diptera; Drosophilidae. The record is from RNAcentral.
AACAGAUUCUUCACCUUUAGCAACUGAUUCAUCAACGGAAUCAACACCAGUUACCACAGAAUCAACCACGGUAUCUCCACUAAAUGCUGAUGUUUAUUGUUCUACAUUACGAAAAAAAGGAUACUUUAGGGUGGAGAGUGAUUCAACUUGCAGACAGUGAGUCUAGAUUGUUGAUUACGCAUUAAAUAGGAAUUAUUCAUGUACGAAUUGUAAAAUUCCAGGUACGUGUACUGCUAUAAAUUGAGCUUGGAUUACCUGGGUUGGCUUUACUAUUGCAACACAAAUGAAUUUUAUAAUUCUGAUACACAAUCUUGUCAGACCGAACGGCCCGCGAGUUGCUGAAAAAGAU